Molecule: ribosomal RNA, 610 nt
Filed under: Limnobacter sp.
Lineage: Bacteria; Pseudomonadati; Pseudomonadota; Betaproteobacteria; Burkholderiales; Burkholderiaceae
Description: bacterial SSU rRNA
Rfam family: Bacterial small subunit ribosomal RNA
Source: RNAcentral
AGGCAUGGCGGAUGCCUUAACAUGCAAGUCGAACGGUAACAGGGAGCUUGCUCCGCUGACGAGUGGCGAACGGGUGAGUAAUACAUCGGAACGUGCCCAGUAAUGGGGGAUAGCUCGGCGAAAGCCGGAUUAAUACCGCAUACGCCCUGAGGGGGAAAGUGGGGGACCGCAAGGCCUCACGUUAUUGGAGCGGCCGAUGGCUGAUUAGCUAGUUGGUAGGGUAAAGGCCUACCAAGGCGACGAUCAGUAGCUGGUCUGAGAGGACGAUCAGCCACACUGGGACUGAGACACGGCCCAGACUCCUACGGGAGGCAGCAGUGGGGAAUUUUGGACAAUGGGGGAAACCCUGAUCCAGCAAUGCCGCGUGUGCGAAGAAGGCCUUCGGGUUGUAAAGCACUUUUGUCAGGGAAGAAAUCCUUUGGGCUAAUACCCUAGGGGGAUGACGGUACCUGAAGAAUAAGCACCGGCUAACUACGUGCCAGCAGCCGCGGUAAUACGUAGGGUGCAAGCGUUAAUCGGAAUUACUGGGCGUAAAGCGUGCGCAGGCGGUUGUGUAAGACAGGUGUGAAAUCCCCGGGCUUAACCUGGGAAUUGCAUUUGUGACUGCACG